This is a long non-coding RNA of Odocoileus virginianus texanus, 3315 nucleotides long. RefSeq lists it as uncharacterized. Lineage: Eukaryota; Metazoa; Chordata; Mammalia; Artiodactyla; Cervidae. The record is from RefSeq and is a predicted model, not a curated record.
CACUUCAACACCUCAUCCAAAAUUUCCCACUGACUAAAAGAGAACGAAAGUGUUUCCGUUUGGUCCUGUCCUAAGACAUUUCCGAAAAACAAGGACUGCCGACGCGAAUAUACAGUCACGUGCCGUGACUCGGAUUCGAACCGAGGUUGCUGCGGCCACAACGCAGAGUACUAACCACUAUACGAUCACGGCGCGCUACCUUCGCGGCGGCGCAGUGCGGCUGGAUUUAAUAUCCUUUGAAACAGAAUUAUCUUACUGUAGCUUUCUUUGCCUAGUUGGCGCUAUUCGCACAUAAACCCAAAUGUUUCCACUCACAACUUCGAAGCCAGGUCUGACACCCGAAUCUGGGUCCCAGAAUCCCAGGGUGCCUGCACCAGUGUCACCCCUCUGCUGGGCGGCGGCGCACUGUCGAGAUCUGAGAGGUCUGUCGCCUGCAGCCGGGGGACCGCGUCCCCAGUCGCCUUCCUCAAACCACUUCUUUCUUUCCCCUGCAAAUAUUCGAGGCGUUCGGCCUAUUUACACCUCCACCUGGUACCCUGGAGCUGACGUUUGUUUCCUGAAUGUUGGAACCGAAAGAGAAGCGGAGUUGGUGAGUUGCGAAAGGCUUUGAGGUCCCUUUAUUUUUUUCUUGCUUCCCUCACCGUUCCUCGGCGCCCGCUCUCAGAAACUAAGGACUCUUGGGCAGACUCUUCAGUAAAUCUAAGCCGCCUAGGAGUGUUCAGAAAAACAAAUCAAAUCAUAGUCCUUUUCGGACAUUACCUAAAGGCCCCCCAAAGGACAAUUAUCUUAAACAGGUGCGAAGCAAGAGGCCAAACCCAGCAGACAGGCUUGGCUUGGUAGCAGCAAGAAACGUGGAGCUUCACUCUCGCUUGAAACUCCCUGAAGGAUUAGACUUUGAGGACAAAUGGUCAAAAGAUCUUUCUCCCUCCGUUUGGCCUGACAAAAAUAAGAGGCGCUGCGUUGGCCGGGAAUCGAACCCGGGUCAACUGCUUGGAAGGCAGCUAUGCUCACCACUAUACCACCAACGCACACAGGAAGCUAAGGUCACCCAUGUGGGAACUGAGUAGAAGAAACGAAGUUAAUCAUGAAAAGUAUUCAGGAGAGAAAACGAAUGUUUCCCUGACCGGGAAUCGAACCCGGGCCGCGGCGGUGAGAGCGCCGAAUCCUAACCACUAGACCACCAGGGACGAUAGCAAAGUGUUGCGGAUACGAAUAUAUGAGGCUUAGUAAGUUUGUGUCUUUGCUUACGCAUUCUGUGACGUGUGUUCUUUCAGCUAUCUAGAUUUUGAGAUUCUUGACUACUGGGCCCUCACUCCGCCGAAACUACUUUUUCCUCGUAGAAAACUAUCUUUUUUUCUUGAAGUAGAAAAUCCUGAAAAGAACGCUCCAGCUUGGCUCCGAAAGCUAAGUAAGUAUCGUAUGCACACGAUCGCAGUUUCCAAAAUUAAAGACAACUGUCCGGAGAAAAGAUCGAAAGACUAAUAGGAAACUCUCAGCUUCCCGUGUUUGCAGUUAUUUCCUGAAUUGCGAUCAGCGGAAAAGCAAAAGCCUCUAGCUGGGCUCUCCCAGGAAUUUUUCCUUAAGGAAUAUAGAGGUCCUAUAGCAGUUUUUUUUUUUUUUUUAAUCGCUUGUGAAUUUAGGCCAAACUUUAUUGACCAAAGCGAACAUUACAGACAAGUAAAAGUAAUUCAGCCUAUGGUUGGUUGGUUGUCAGCAGGAUCUGAGCAUAAUUCGCUUGUGGGAGACUAAGAGAAGACUUUUGGAGCUUCAAAAAUUUCAAAUAUGAAGACGGAAGAGAGGGAGACAGGAGAAAGAAAAGAAAACUGGAGUGAAUACCUAGACUGAAGGAAUCUUAAAAACCAUACCCCUCAAUGUAUGUAAAUUUGCUUUAUAGGAGACAGAAAGCAAAUAUGACAAAAUGUUAACGAAUCUUGGUGAAGGGUAACUGAAAUUGUAUUAUUUUAAAUUUUUGUACGUUUGAUAUUUUUCAAAAUAAAAAUUUGAGAAAACCAAAAAUGAAAGAGACAAGUCUCCUCUCAGACAUUUUUUGGUCACUGUGAUUAAUUCUCUGCACAUAAGUUCAAAUAUAAAGUUUAAAAAGCAACCCCCACGAUUUAAGAUCAGAAAACACUUUUGAUAAUAAGUGAAAAAGAGAACUAAAAAAUUGAAGCAAAAAUCAGCACGGCCUGAUAGAAAAAAUGAAUGGUAGGAUGCCAGAUAUUUAUGGGGAGUUUACUGAUUCGUUUUGCUUUCAAAGUAUCAAUAUUAAAGAGUUGUGUAAGGAAAGUGUCAAUCCUCUGGUCAUCCAAUCCACACUUUCCUAGGGAGAAGAGUACAUAAACACUAGAGAUUUAUUUUCACAAAACCCAAGUAAUCCUGGUGUCACAAGUCACCAAGGAACCCAACAAAGCCCACUUUCUUUUACUCCGUCUCUGUUCCCACUGGGCAGCUACCUGUAUGCAAAUGCUGAAGAAGAAAAAAAUCAAACCCUCAGAGCAACAUUUUGGGGUUGUACAAAAUGGGGUUGUACAAGGCAAUCCACUUUAUUUUUCUAUGGCACAAAGGAAAUCAAUCAGCCUCCUUAAGCUUUGGUCAACAGUCUACUUUCACCAGUUAUUCUGCCACCUGCUGGUAAUUUUCAGUAACAUGAAAAAUUGGGAAGUACUGCAGUAUUAGCUCUUGCUUGGAGCAAGCCUCCUUUCUCAACCUCAAAGCACCAGGAGAAAUCUCAUCAUUCAGAACAGGAUUAAGCCUCCUCCUUCCUGGCACCACACACCUAAAGAUGAAUGAGGGGGAGUACAAUUCAUUUACUUCAUUCCAUGUUCUAUUUUCUUUUUUCCUUUUUGCAAACAUUUACAGAUUACGUGCCAGAGUAGGUACCGAAGAUACAAAAAAUAUACAUAAAGAGCUCACAAUCUAGAGGAAAAUCAAAUAAGUGAAUAAAAGAGAAUGGAUCGGAGGAGAUUGAGUGGAUGUUCUUUCCUCUGUUCUCCCUGCUAAUACCACUAAAAACCCUGGACAUUUCAUAUAGGACAAACAUACAAGACUCUGAAAAAUAGAAAGCAGCAGACUAGCAAGGGGCCUCAGAGCCCAAGGAACCACAGUGAUGACUUCCCUGGGUUUUCUUAGUGUCUCAUAUGCCCCAGACUUGGAGCUGAAGAAGCUGGCAACCUGGAAAUGCAAUGGAUGCAGCCAAAUAAAACCAAACAAAACCAAAACAAUAACAACAAAAGCCUGCUCUCGCUAGUCACAAGACUGGGAAAGAGGUAGCCUAGCAAAAUAAAAAAACUUUUAGAUAAUAACUGCUCUAUUCCA